AGCCGUACUCAUGUCCAGCCUAGUUCCCAAGGAUUUCUGAAGUGAUUGCCAGAAUCGCGAGGUAAAUCGACUAUCCCGAUCUAAGAUAAUGGACUUUGGUACCCCAUGCAAUCUCACGAUUUCCUUGAUGUACAGAUUUGUCAGUUUCUCCAUCUUGUCGGUCUCUUUCAUUGGUAGAAAGUGGGCUGACUUGGUCAGUCUGUCGACGAUUACCCAUAUGGUAUCAAGUCCGCCUGAUGUUUUACGCAGCUUGGUUAUGAAGUCCAUGGUUAUUCGUUCCCACUUCCAUUCCGGUAUAUCAGGCUGUUGUAGUAGUCCUGAGGGUUUCUGGUAUUCCACCUUGACCUUGGCACAAGUCAGACACUUGCCCACAUAAGUGGCGAUCUCAGCUUUCAUGUUCGGCCACCAGUACGACUUCUUGAGGUCUAGAUACAUCUUAUCCGAACCUGGAUGGAUGGAAUAUCGAGUCUUGUGUGCUUCGUUCAUGACAACGUCUCGGAACCCGCCAAACUUCGGUGUCCAGAUCCGGUUCAUGAGGUAGCGAGCUCUAUCUUCCUUAAUUUCUAGGUUUGUAUCCAUCCCUCUCAAUGCCUCACCUGUCACGUUUUCUGGUUUCAAGGCUUCAAGUUGAGCUUCCUUGAUUUGUGUGAACAGGUGUGAAUGGAUCGUCAUUGUUAAUGACUUCACCUGGCAACCCGAAUAUUCGUUUCUGCUUAGGGCAUCGGCUACAAAAUUUUCCUUGCCCGGAUGAUAGCAAAUUUCACACUCGUAGUCGUUCUGCAGCUCUACCUAUCUUCUUUGCCGCAUGUUGAGCUCUUUUUGAUUGAGGAUAUGCUGGAGAAUUUUGUGAUCGGUGAAGAUAGUGCACUUUGUGCCGUAGAGGUAGUGCUUCCAGAUCUUUAGGGUGAACACUACUGCUCCCAUUUCAAGGUCGUGGGUAGUAUAAUUAAUCUCGUGUGUUUUAAGUUGCCUUGACGCGUAAGCGAUGACCUUCCCUCUCUGCAUGAACACACAUCCGAGACCUUGAUUUGAAGCAUCGCAAUACACCACGAAGUCAUCGGUUCCUUCUGGGAGAGACAAGACCGGUGCGCUACAUAGGGCUUGUUUUAACGUUUGGAAGGCGACUUCUUGUUUAUCUCCCCACUUAGACAUCACACCUUUUUGAGUCAAGGUGGUGAGUGGUUUAGCGAUCCUAGAGAAGUUUUGGAUGAAUCUUCGGUAGUAUCCAACGAGUCCUAAAAUUUGUUGGAUUUCUAUCGGCGUUGUAGGUGCUGACCAGUUUUUGAUCGUUUUGAUUUUUGAGGGAUCCACAUGUAUCCCUUUAUCGCUAACUAUGUGGCCAAGGAAUCGCACUUCUCGGAGCCAAAAUUCGCACUUUGAAAAUUUAGCAUAAAGCUUCUCAGUUCUUAGAGUCUCCAAUACUACCCGCAGAUGUUGGUUGUGCUCUUCUUUGCUUCGCGAAUAGACAAAGAUAUCGUCGAUGAAUACGAUUACAAAUUUGUAUAAGAAGGGCCGACACACCCGGUUCAUCAUAUCCAUGAAUACCGCAGGUGCGUUUGUCAGUCCAAAGGGUAUCACCACAAAUUCUUAAUGGCCGUAGCGCGUUCUGAAUGCUGUCUUAGGAAUAUCAUCCUCUUGAACUCGCAGUUGAUGGUAACCCGACCUCAAGUCGAUCUUUGAAAAGUUGUUUGCUCCCUGGAGUUGGUCGAAGAGAUCAUCGAUUCGAGGCAGGGGAUAUCGAUUUUUGACAAUAAUUUUGUUUAACUCCCGAUAGUCGAUGCACAUGCGAAAGGAUCCAUCCUUCUUUUUCACAAAUAAGACUGGUGCUCCCCAGGGUGAAAAGCUUGAUCUGAUGAACCUCUUGCUUAAUAGUUCGUUCAAUUGACUAGACAGUUCUUGCAUUUCUUCCGGUGUGAGGUGAUAUGGAGCUUUGGCUAAGGGGGUAGCUUUGGGAACCAAGUCGAUUCAGAAUUCGACUUGUCGUGCGAGUGGUACACCUGGCAGAUCUUCUGGGAAUACAUCAAGGAAGUUGCACACUUCUGGAAUGUCUUUGAUAUCCUUCACCCCUUGUUUCUUAUCUACGACGUGGGUUAAGAAGGCGUGGUAUUCCUUUCGGAGAUACUUUUGAGCCUUGACGCAAGAAAUGAUUUGUAGAUUUGUAUUGGGUUUAUCGCUGUAGACGAGGAGGGUUUCGCCAUUUGGUAGAGUAAGGCGGACGGCCCUUUUGUAACAUAAAAUAUCGGCACGAUUUGAACUUAACCAAUCCAUUCCAAUGAUGAUGUCGAAACUUUUUAUUGUGACCGACAUUAGAUCGAUUUUGAACGAAUGGUUGUCUAGAGUGAGGGUACACCCUAUGUAAAUAUCAUUAGCACGCUCAACCUUUCCGUUUGCCAUUUCUACGACGUAUGAAUCUUUUAAUGACUGGGGAUUUUGUUUAAGUAAAUGUCUGAAUUGGUGGCUCACGAAAAUCCUUUCUGCUCCACAAUCGAAAAGUACGCAUGCAUAAGAGUUAUUGAGGAGGAACGUACCGUUAACCACUGUGGGGUCCUUGACUGCUUCUCAAUGCCCUAAAGCUAGGACUCUUCCUGCACCUCCAACAUUGGUGUUUUGUGCUUUUGGGCAGUUUCUUUUGAAGUGCCCUGCCUCUCCACAGCCGUAAUAGGUUUGGCUUGCUUCGGUGUUGGCGGUCGGGGUGGAUUGGGCUGGCACUUUACAAAAUCAAGCAGUGUGCCCCUUCCUGUUGCAAUUACUGCAGUGCAUUUCCCGACAAGCACCGGUGUGGUGGAAGUUGCACUUGUUGCACUUGGGAAGAGUUCCGACAUAUUGCUUCCGUGGGGCCGGAGUGGAGGGAGUAGUGGCAGCAUGGAUGGCAACAGUUUGUUGUUUCUUUGCGGGGUCCUGCGCCGGUUGCUUCUUUUUAUUGUCCCAGAAUUUUCUCUUGUUGUUCCCUCCCUUUGCUUGAUCGGAGGUGGUUGGNCGCGAGGUAAAUCGACUAUCCCGAUCUAAGAUAAUGGACUUUGGUACCCCAUGCAAUCUCACGAUUUCCUUGAUGUACAGAUUUGUCAGUUUCUCCAUCUUGUCGGUCUCUUUCAUUGGUAGAAAGUGGGCUGACUUGGUCAGUCUGUCGACGAUUACCCAUAUGGUAUCAAGUCCGCCUGAUGUUUUACGCAGCUUGGUUAUGAAGUCCAUGGUUAUUCGUUCCCACUUCCAUUCCGGUAUAUCAGGCUGUUGUAGUAGUCCUGAGGGUUUCUGGUAUUCCACCUUGACCUUGGCACAAGUCAGACACUUGCCCACAUAAGUGGCGAUCUCAGCUUUCAUGUUCGGCCACCAGUACGACUUCUUGAGGUCUAGAUACAUCUUAUCCGAACCUGGAUGGAUGGAAUAUCGAGUCUUGUGUGCUUCGUUCAUGACAACGUCUCGGAACCCGCCAAACUUCGGUGUCCAGAUCCGGUUCAUGAGGUAGCGAGCUCUAUCUUCCUUAAUUUCUAGGUUU
RNAcentral lists this long non-coding RNA (3493 nucleotides) under Lactuca sativa (garden lettuce). RNAcentral describes it as "long non-coding RNA (LSAT_LNC005680)". The record is from RNAcentral. Lineage: Eukaryota; Viridiplantae; Streptophyta; Magnoliopsida; Asterales; Asteraceae.